UCGAGAAUCAUUCACAAUGGGCGAAAGCCUGAUGGUGUGACGCCGCGUGGAGGAUGACGGUCUUCGGAUUGUAAACUCCUGUCAUGUGAGAGUAAGAUUCAAGGAGUAACUGCCUGUGAAUUUGAGAGUAUCACAAGAGGAAGAGACGGCUAACUCUGUGCCAGCAGCCGCGGUAAUACAGAGGUCUCAAGCGUUGUUCGGAAUCACUGGGCGUAAAGGGUGCGUAGGCGGCGCGGAAAGUCAGAGGUGAAAUCCCGGGGCUCAACCCCGGAAUUGCCUCCGAUACUCCCGUGCUUGAGGGCUGGAGAGGAGUCUGGAAUUCACGGUGGAGCAGUGAAAUGCGUAGAUAUCGUGAGGAACACUAGUGGCGAAGGCGAGACUCUGGACAGUACCUGACGCUGAGGCACGAAGGCCAGGGGAGCGAACG
This 427-nucleotide ribosomal RNA is filed under the name uncultured bacterium. Its description in RNAcentral is "bacterial SSU rRNA". It matches the Rfam family "Bacterial small subunit ribosomal RNA", at positions 355 to 774 of the family's 1533-position model. The record is from RNAcentral.